GACUAACCCACAAAAUUACAAUUAUCUUAUAUUAGACAAAGGCAUCAAAAAACAUGCAAUGGAGAAAAGAGAGCUUCUUUAGCAAAUCGUGCUGGGAAAACUGGAAAUCCAUAUGCAACAAAAUGAAAUCAGACCCCUAUCUCUCACCAUGCACAAAGCUCAGUUCAAAAUUGAUCAAGGACUUAAGAAUAAAACCAGAGACCUUGCAUCUAAUAGAAGAAAACAGUAGGUCCUAAUCUCCAUCAUGAGGGAUUCUACCCUAACUUCCUUAAUAAGACCCCUAUACACAAGAAUUAAAAUCAACAAUCAAUAAAUGAGAUGGAUUCAAACUAAAAAGUUUCUUCUCAGCAAAAGAAACAAUCUCUGAGGUGAAUAGAGAACCUAUAUCUUGGGAGCAGAUCUUUACCCCUCACAUAUCAGAUAGAGCACUAAUCUCUAGGGUAUGUAAAGAACUCAAAAAGCUAAACAUCAAAAACAAAACAAAACAAACAAAACAACACAAAACAAAACAAAAAACCAAAUAACCCAACCAAUAAAUGGACCAAGGACCUGAACAGACACUUUUCAUAUAAGAUGAUAUGCAGUUAAUCAACAAAUGUUCAUCAUUGCUAGCAAUUAGAGAAAGACAAAUCAAAACUACUCUAAGAUUUCAUCUCAUGCCACUAAGAAUGGUACUAUUAUGAAGACAAACAACAAACAAUAAGUGUUGGUGAGGAUGUGGGGAAAAAGGUACACUCAUACACUGCUGGUGGGACUGCAAAUUGGUGCAGCCAAUAUGGAAAGCAGUAUGGAGAUUUCUUGGAAAAUUGGGAAUGGAACCAGCAUUUGACCCAGCUAUCCCUCUCCUUGGUCUAUACCCAAAGGACUUAAUUAAAAACAGCAUACUACAGGGACACAGCCACAUCCAUAUGUAUAGC
Molecule: long non-coding RNA, 917 nt
Filed under: Marmota monax (woodchuck)
Lineage: Eukaryota; Metazoa; Chordata; Mammalia; Rodentia; Sciuridae
Source: RNAcentral